This 439-nucleotide ribosomal RNA is filed under the name uncultured bacterium. Its description in RNAcentral is "partial 16S ribosomal RNA". It matches the Rfam family "Bacterial small subunit ribosomal RNA", at positions 339 to 795 of the family's 1533-position model. The record is from RNAcentral.
CUACGGGGUGCUCCAGUGAGGAAUAUUGCACAAUGGGGGGAACCCUGAUGCAGCAACGCCGCGUGGAGGAUGACGCAUUUCGGUGUGUAAACUCCUUUUAUAUGUCAAGAAAAUGACGGUAGCAUAUGGAUAAGCGCCGGCUAACUCCGUGCCAGCAGCCGCGGUAAUACGGAGGGCGCAAGCGUUACUCGGAAUCACUGGGCGUAAAGGACGCGUAGGCGGGUUGAAAAGUCAGGUGUGAAAGCCUACAGCUUAACUGUAGAACUGCACUUGAAACUCUCAAUCUAGAGUAUGGGAGGGGCAGAUGGAAUUAGUGGUGUAGGGGUAAAAUCCGUAGAUAUCACUAGGAAUACCUAAAGCGAAGGCGAUCUGCUGGAACAUUACUGACGCUAAGGCGUGAAAGCGUGGGGAGCAAACAGGAUUAGAUACCCUGGUAGUC